AGCAAAAAUUGUAGUGUUGAUUCGAGUUAAAUUCCCAGUGUAAAUUAUUCCGAGUGAAUGGGUGUUGAUUUGUGUGUUAUUUUAACACUUACAGUGCAGAAAAAGCUCUGAGGGGGACGUCAUUUCACGGAGUUCGGAGCAUACACUUAUUUUGAGUUACUUUCCACAUCCGGUUUUUUCGCGGUCAUUCAUUGACGAGCGGGAUUUGUCUUCACUUACCGUGGCAGUGAACUAAGCUAAACGCCCAGAAGAAAGCUGUGUGGGAUUGGGAUAUUCGUUUAAGAAGGUAAGAACCACAUUUAUCAAUUUAUAAAGGCUGUUUGUCAUUAUUUAAACCAUGUUUUAACGUUAAGUGGGUGUGAUGCAGUCGAUGUGCUUACAUGUGGAUUAAUGGAAUUUGCUUGCUAGCUAGCUAACGAGUGAUUUAGCAUUUUUUCCUUAUAUUUAUCAACUGUACUAUACUGUACUGUAAAAAUGUACGUUGCGUGUUUAAAUGUGAUACAAGUGCUUAACAUUGCAUUUACUAUGGUUCUAUGAGAGAACAUUUUGAAACAUUUUCAAAUUUAUAAAUGUAUUCUUUAACACUAAGUUAGUCCAGCCACUGUAAAACCAUAAAAUUACGUUAGUGUGUUUUAAUAUAAAAUGUGCUUAAGGUGUUAAGGGUUUCCCGCAGAAAACUUGUUAGUCAAGGUGGUUGGUCGUCCGACGGGGGGGAGGCUACCGGCGCUGUUUAGCUAGGUCGUCCGACGGGGGGGGGCUACCGGCGCUGUUUAGCUAGGUCGUCCGAGUCCGACUGGGACGCCGUAGUUAAGGCGGCAGGCUGCAAAGUGCUGCGGGAAACCGUGGUGUUAGCUAGCUAGUUCUUUGUUGCGUUGUCGACAGUUUCAAGAUGAUUUGUGCACGCCCGCGUUUGUUUUUCGUCAGUAAUGAAGGCCUGCGCCAUUAAUAUGGCAGAUAUACCGACUGCUGCAGCUAUGUUUCUGCUGUGGAAGUCCUAGAUAUGUUGGAAAAUUAAACUGCGUCACGUCUGGAUUAGUAACCUCAUCUGGUGGAACGAACCAGCCUUCUCAAGUAACGUCAAAAACAAGUUUGGGCUUCCUGAUGUAGCUCAACUUGACAUUUUUGAUGAUACUGACACAGCAGUAGAGGAAGACAUUCUUCUAGAGCUGUUGGAGGCCAAUCCAGACAUGUGCCUGACAGUAUGUGACAGCAUUUCCAAUGAAGACUUUUCUCCUCUAGAUCAUUCAACAUCAUCUUCCCUCACGGACACCAUAUCACUUCCUUCAAGUGACAGUGACCUUAGAGAACUGGGUAUGACCACAGGCAGAAAUAGAUCCAGCAAAGAAGACAUGAGCAGUUCUGCAACAAAGGCUUCCGUGUCAGAGGCGGCAAAGGAGAUUGUAGAAAAUGCCUUGCUUAAGAAGCCUGGAGGAGAGGAUGUUCUUGAG
Pungitius pungitius (ninespine stickleback) is the source of this 1448-nucleotide long non-coding RNA. RefSeq lists it as uncharacterized. The record is from RefSeq and is a predicted model, not a curated record. The transcript is spliced from 4 exons. NCBI's taxonomy places the organism in Eukaryota, Metazoa, Chordata, Actinopteri, Perciformes, Gasterosteidae.